AUUGAACGCUGGCGGCAGGCCUAACACAUGCAAGUCGAGCGAGCGGCGGACGGGUGAGUAAUGUCUGGGAAACUGCCUGAUGGAGGGGGAUAACUACUGGAAACGGUAGCUAAUACCGCAUACCAUCAGAUGUGCCCAGAUGGGAUUAGCUGGUAGGUGGGGUAACGGCUCACCUAGGCGACGAUCCCUAGCUGGUCUGAGAGGAUGACCAGCCACAUUUGGACUGAGACACGGCCCAGACUCCUACGGGAGGCAGCAGUGGGGAAUCUUCCGCAAUGGACGAAAGUCUGACGGAGCAACGCCGCGUGAGUGAUGACGGCCUUCGGGUUGUAAAGUACUUUCAGCGGGGAGGCGUUACCCGCAGAAGAAACACCGGCUAACUCCGUGCCAGCAGCCGCGGUAAUUC
Molecule: ribosomal RNA, 406 nt
Filed under: uncultured bacterium
Lineage: Bacteria
Description: partial 16S ribosomal RNA
Rfam family: Bacterial small subunit ribosomal RNA
Source: RNAcentral